Molecule: ribosomal RNA, 2903 nt
Filed under: Escherichia coli
Lineage: Bacteria; Pseudomonadati; Pseudomonadota; Gammaproteobacteria; Enterobacterales; Enterobacteriaceae
Description: 23S ribosomal RNA
Rfam family: Bacterial large subunit ribosomal RNA
Source: RNAcentral
GGUUAAGCGACUAAGCGUACACGGUGGAUGCCCUGGCAGUCAGAGGCGAUGAAGGACGUGCUAAUCUGCGAUAAGCGUCGGUGAGGUGAUAUGAACCGUUAUAACCGGCGAUUUCCGAAUGGGGAAACCCAGUGUGUUUCGACACACUAUCAUUAACUGAAUCCAUAGGUUAAUGAGGCGAACCGGGGGAACUGAAACAUCUAAGUACCCCGAGGAAAAGAAAUCAACCGAGAUUCCCCCAGUAGCGGCGAGCGAACGGGGAGGAGCCCAGAGCCUGAAUCAGUGUGUGUGUUAGUGGAAGCGUCUGGAAAGGCGCGCGAUACAGGGUGACAGCCCCGUACACAAAAAUGCACAUAUUGUGAGCUCGAUGAGUAGGGCGGGACACGUGGUAUCCUGUCUGAAUAUGGGGGACCAUCCUCCAAGGCUAAAUACUCCUGACUGACCGAUAGUGAACCAGUACCGUGAGGGAAAGGCGAAAAGAACCCCGGCGAGGGGAGUGAAAAAGAACCUGAAACCGUGUACGUACAAGCAGUGGGAGCCUCUUAAUGGGGUGACUGCGUACCUUUUGUAUAAUGGGUCAGCGACUUAUAUUCUGUAGCAAGGUUAACCGAAUAGGGGAGCCGAAGGGAAACCGAGUCUUAACUGGGCGUUAAGUUGCAGGGUAUAGACCCGAAACCCGGUGAUCUAGCCAUGGGCAGGUUGAAGGUUGGGUAACACUAACUGGAGGACCGAACCGACUAAUGUUGAAAAAUUAGCGGAUGACUUGUGGCUGGGGGUGAAAGGCCAAUCAAACCGGGAGAUAGCUGGUUCUCCCCGAAAGCUAUUUAGGUAGCGCCUCGUGAAUUCAUCUCCGGGGUAGAGCACUGUUUCGGCAAGGGGGUCAUCCCGACUUACCAACCCGAUGCAAACUGCGAAUACCGGAGAAUGUUAUCACGGGAGACACACGGCGGGUGCUAACGUCCGUCGUGAAGAGGGAAACAACCCAGACCGCCAGCUAAGGUCCCAAAGUCAUGGUUAAGUGGGAAACGAUGUGGGAAGGCCCAGACAGCCAGGAUGUUGGCUUAGAAGCAGCCAUCAUUUAAAGAAAGCGUAAUAGCUCACUGGUCGAGUCGGCCUGCGCGGAAGAUGUAACGGGGCUAAACCAUGCACCGAAGCUGCGGCAGCGACGCUUAUGCGUUGUUGGGUAGGGGAGCGUUCUGUAAGCCUGUGAAGGUGUGCUGUGAGGCAUGCUGGAGGUAUCAGAAGUGCGAAUGCUGACAUAAGUAACGAUAAAGCGGGUGAAAAGCCCGCUCGCCGGAAGACCAAGGGUUCCUGUCCAACGUUAAUCGGGGCAGGGUGAGUCGACCCCUAAGGCGAGGCCGAAAGGCGUAGUCGAUGGGAAACAGGUUAAUAUUCCUGUACUUGGUGUUACUGCGAAGGGGGGACGGAGAAGGCUAUGUUGGCCGGGCGACGGUUGUCCCGGUUUAAGCGUGUAGGCUGGUUUUCCAGGCAAAUCCGGAAAACCAAGGCUGAGGCGUGAUGACGAGGCACUACGGUGCUGAAGCAACAAAUGCCCUGCUUCCAGGAAAAGCCUCUAAGCAUCAGGUAACAUCAAAUCGUACCCCAAACCGACACAGGUGGUCAGGUAGAGAAUACCAAGGCGCUUGAGAGAACUCGGGUGAAGGAACUAGGCAAAAUGGUGCCGUAACUUCGGGAGAAGGCACGCUGAUAUGUAGGUGAAGCGACUUGCUCGUGGAGCUGAAAUCAGUCGAAGAUACCAGCUGGCUGCAACUGUUUAUUAAAAACACAGCACUGUGCAAACACGAAAGUGGACGUAUACGGUGUGACGCCUGCCCGGUGCCGGAAGGUUAAUUGAUGGGGUUAGCGGUAACGCGAAGCUCUUGAUCGAAGCCCCGGUAAACGGCGGCCGUAACUAUAACGGUCCUAAGGUAGCGAAAUUCCUUGUCGGGUAAGUUCCGACCUGCACGAAUGGCGUAAUGAUGGCCAGGCUGUCUCCACCCGAGACUCAGUGAAAUUGAACUCGCUGUGAAGAUGCAGUGUACCCGCGGCAAGACGGAAAGACCCCGUGAACCUUUACUAUAGCUUGACACUGAACAUUGAGCCUUGAUGUGUAGGAUAGGUGGGAGGCUUUGAAGUGUGGACGCCAGUCUGCAUGGAGCCGACCUUGAAAUACCACCCUUUAAUGUUUGAUGUUCUAACGUUGGCCCGUAAUCCGGGUUGCGGACAGUGUCUGGUGGGUAGUUUGACUGGGGCGGUCUCCUCCUAAAGAGUAACGGAGGAGCACGAAGGUUGGCUAAUCCUGGUCGGACAUCAGGAGGUUAGUGCAAUGGCAUAAGCCAGCUUGACUGCGAGCGUGACGGCGCGAGCAGGUGCGAAAGCAGGUCAUAGUGAUCCGGUGGUUCUGAAUGGAAGGGCCAUCGCUCAACGGAUAAAAGGUACUCCGGGGAUAACAGGCUGAUACCGCCCAAGAGUUCAUAUCGACGGCGGUGUUUGGCACCUCGAUGUCGGCUCAUCACAUCCUGGGGCUGAAGUAGGUCCCAAGGGUAUGGCUGUUCGCCAUUUAAAGUGGUACGCGAGCUGGGUUUAGAACGUCGUGAGACAGUUCGGUCCCUAUCUGCCGUGGGCGCUGGAGAACUGAGGGGGGCUGCUCCUAGUACGAGAGGACCGGAGUGGACGCAUCACUGGUGUUCGGGUUGUCAUGCCAAUGGCACUGCCCGGUAGCUAAAUGCGGAAGAGAUAAGUGCUGAAAGCAUCUAAGCACGAAACUUGCCCCGAGAUGAGUUCUCCCUGAGACUUAGAGUCUCCUGAAGGAACGUUGAAGACGACGACGUUGAUAGGCCGGGUGUGUAAGCGCAGCGAUGCGUUGAGCUAACCGGUACUAAUGAACCGUGAGGCUUAACCUU